UACGAAGGGGGCGAGCGUUGUUCGGAUUUACUGGGCGUAAAGGGCGCGCAGGCGGUUCUGUUUGUCGAGUGUGAAAGCCCCGGGCUCAACCUGGGAACUGCGCUCGAAACGGCGGAACUAGAGUUCGGGAGAGGAGAGUGGAAUUCCCAGUGUAGCAGUGAAAUGCGUAGAGAUGUGGAGGAAUACCGAUGGCGAAGGCAGCCCCCUGGGCCAAUACUGACGCUCAUGCACGAAAGCGUGGGGAGCAAACAGG
Molecule: ribosomal RNA, 253 nt
Filed under: uncultured bacterium
Lineage: Bacteria
Description: partial 16S ribosomal RNA
Rfam family: Bacterial small subunit ribosomal RNA
Source: RNAcentral